This is a long non-coding RNA of Cornus florida, 478 nucleotides long. RefSeq lists it as uncharacterized. The transcript is spliced from 2 exons. The record is from RefSeq and is a predicted model, not a curated record. Lineage: Eukaryota; Viridiplantae; Streptophyta; Magnoliopsida; Cornales; Cornaceae.
ACACACACACACACACGUGUGUUAUCAAAUCUUUGCUAAUGUGAUUAUGUUUAUUCUGCUGUAGAUCUUCUGCAAUCCGAAGAAAGAUAUAUACAAAGGAUUCAGGUGAUCGAAGAACAUGGGUCACCACCACCACGACGACGACGACGGUCACCAUCACCAUGGCACGUGUGAUCCAUUAUUGGUGGAGUGCUGUUGCAUCCCAUUUUAUCUAGUUUCGUACAUAAUCAGAGGGAUUAGGAGGUGCAUGUUUCUUGCUUGCUUCCCUGUUUUGCAGUGCUUUGGAUGUGAUGAACAUAGACAUCACCAUCACAACAGGCAUUUUUAUUGAUCCACCAUUCACACUUAUUUCUUUUUUCAUUCAAUUCAUAUCUGAUUUCUUUUCUUUUUCCUUUUCAGUUACCAAAAAAUAGAACUCUUGUUUGUGAAUCAAAUUUACUCUGUUUUGUUUGAUUGCAAUGUACAUUUUAUUUCCUUA